Long non-coding RNA from Oryza sativa Japonica Group (Japanese rice), 2761 nucleotides. RefSeq lists it as uncharacterized. NCBI's taxonomy places the organism in Eukaryota, Viridiplantae, Streptophyta, Magnoliopsida, Poales, Poaceae. The record is from RefSeq and is a predicted model, not a curated record.
UUGGCGCAGCUUCGCCACACUAGUACCUUCCCUCCACCAUCGGGCCCUACGCGCAUGCAUUGGCUCCCCCACGUCCAGCCUCACUCUUGGCAAGACGGCAGGGAGCGCCCACAUCAUCAUCCUCCAUGAUGAAUUCUAGUCUUGUCCUUCCUUGUAGGCUUGGGCUUGCUGCCCCUACCUCGAUCCUCUUCCUCUUCCCGUUGAGAUUCAGAUAAUUCCCACUUCUUCCUAAUCUCUACCCGAUAAGGCGUGAUGAGUUAUUCUUUCCUUUGUUAGAUUUGGACACUGGACGAAAGGAUCGAAAGGAGCAGCAGCUCUGAUUCGGAUAGGCACGUGCACAACUUUCUCUCCUAGCACACCUGCGCAAUUGAGGAGCCCCCUCGAGUGAAACCAUCUCGUCAAGCGGCAAAUGGGGCCGAAACAGCCGCCACCGUCCUCGCCGGCGCCGCUCGGACGGAUGAAGCGUUCCUCAUCGUGCCUCCCUUGCUCGGCCGACAUAGCCUUCCUCCAACGCUGUUGCCGACGGAGCUAGGGUUGGGAAGGAGAGCGGCCGGCAGUGGAGGGCAGGUUGAGGUCGUUGUCGCUGCCGGAUUUGGUAAGUGUGGCCGGUGGCCGGUAGCGGAGGCGACUUCGGCUCCAUCCAUACCAACUGCCCCGUUGUUCAUCGUCGCCGAUGACCCUGAUCUGUGCAACCAUAGGCCUCCGCUGCUUGGACAUCGGCUGAUCUGCGCAACCCCAACCCUCCACCAACGGGGCCCAGGCGGUUAUAGUCCUCACCUAGAGGGAGGUGACCUCCGUCGACGUGAUGGUCGACGUCACAACCGUGGAUUCACAUUAGGCCGAUGAGGACGCCCUCUGCCAUAACAGUGUGCCCUACCAAUAAAAGAAUAAGUAAAAUAGUUACGAACAAUUGAUGGUAAAUCAAUUGUUGAAUGGAUUUUGGAGAAGAAUUUGAGAUAAUUAAAUUACUAAAUGGAUUCUAGCGAGAAUGCAAAGUAAAAGUACAUCUUUUACUUGAUAGUAAUAUACUACUUUGCAAAGAUAUCAUAUAGUAAUUCUUUUACUCUGGUACAACUGUAGAAAAACGAAAGCAAAGUAAAAGUAAAUCUUUUACUUGAUAGUAAUAUACUACUUUGCAAAUAUAUCCUAUAGUAAUUCUUUUACUCCCGAUACGAUUGUAGAAAAAACGAAAGGGAUAAACUCCGCUCAGGGAAGGAGUGGGAACCAGAGGUUGGGCUAGUUGAAAUUGAAAACGGAAAAAAAGAAGGGGGUGGAUUGGGAACCGGAGGCGGAGGCGAGGGAAACUGAAAAAGGGGAAAAAAGGAAAACAUGGUGAAGAUCGCUACGUCAGGCACUUGAAUUAACAAACAACGCACUGCGCAUGUAUUAGCGCUACCGUAAAUUUCAGUUGAAACAUUCUUUUUCUCACGUGCGAAACAUCGAAACUCAAUGGUUGAAACAUAUAUUUUCAUCCAAAUAUAAUCAUGUGUGAUAUUUUAUUAUAAAGAUUUAAUUAUAACGAAUAUAGCAGUGUAAUCAGAUAGUUGAUCCGAUAAAUAAUUUUUAGGAAACCGUUUAAGUAUUGUCCAUAGACCUUCUGCACGUAACAUGUAACAUCUCAUGCAUGUACUGGCUACUAGGUGGUAAACAAUUCAGAUCCUCAGUACUGCAGACUGACAUGUAGACCUAAGGGUCUGUGGGGCCUACAUGUCAGUGAGCAGUACUGCAUAUGUAGUACUGCAGAGGACCCUCACUCAGUGGUAAAUGGGAAUGAAGGGCAGAGAGACGUUUGGAUUGUUCAAAAAAAAAUUAUGAUUGAUGUGACCCAAGCCCAUCAUAUGGAGUGUACCGUAGUGUCCGAUAUGUUUCUGGGCAUCUGACUCUCGAGGCCAAGCAUUCUCGUCAUUAUUUGCAAACACUCUUUAACUUUAAGGUUAUGUAAUGCAUGCACUCUGACUAAAAUUAAAGAGCUAACCGAGGUUAUCUAGUAACAACAAUAAUAAAACGUGGGAGAAAGAGAAGUUGUGUAAUAGAGUGUUUUCAAUGGUAAAUAGUAGAAUAAUCACAAUAACAACAACAAUAAACAAAGUUUAUGCUUCUCUGCUGCCAUGAAAAUAGUGUUUGCAAUGGUAAAAAGUAGAAUAAUCACAAUAAUAUUGUAUAUACGGAGAACUUGUGUUCAUCAAUGGUAAGUAGUAGAAUAAUCACAAUAUUUUUAUGGCAGCAGAGAAGCAUAAACUUUUUUUAUUGUUUGUAGAAAUUCUUGCACAUCCAGAUAUAGUUUCACAACUUAGAGUGAGUUCGAGGAGAAAGGGAUUAAGAAGAUUAGGAAGAUACGUAAAACGAGAUAAGCCAUUAGCACAUAAUUAAUUAAGUAUUAACUAUUUUAAUUUUCAAAAAUGGAUUAAUAUGAUUUUUUAAAGCAACUUUCCUAUAGAAAAUUUUUGUCAAAAAUGCACCGUUUAGUAGUUUGGGAAGCGUGCGUGCGGAAUACGAUGGGCUUUCUCACCCAAUCCCCCAGGAACGAACGCACCUUUAGUGUAGCACAUGAUAAACAGAUGUUCCCAUUUAUAAUGACCUUGCUUGGUUGAUCCAUCACUUUUCAACCCAAGGUCAUAUGUGUACUUUCCAUAGCUUACUUAUUCAUCCAUGUAUAUCAUGUGUAUAUAUGGGUUGGUCACCUUUGUAACCAACAUCAAAGCUGCGAAUCACCAUGAACAUAUUAAUUAAGCAUGUUUAAUGCCUUAAUUAAUUACACUUA